Macadamia integrifolia is the source of this 667-nucleotide long non-coding RNA. RefSeq lists it as uncharacterized. The record is from RefSeq and is a predicted model, not a curated record. NCBI's taxonomy places the organism in Eukaryota, Viridiplantae, Streptophyta, Magnoliopsida, Proteales, Proteaceae. The transcript is spliced from 2 exons.
AACACAUUGACAACUUUAAGACCAACAGAGGAUUUUGAUCCGUGAGAGUGAGCGCGCAAAGGGAGAGCAGGGGCGAAAAAUGGGAGUUCGAGGCCACUGUUGGCAAAAACGGGAUUGCCAAAAAAAUCGGAGACGUACGAGAAAAACUAUAGCAAUGCUUAUGCAACAAAUAUGGUGGAAGUAAACUUGCUAUCUCAGAAAUACAAAGAAGAUAAAACAAAGCAGCAAAGCUUAAGGUGGAAGACGAACAGGAACUGGAUACGGCGUCGUCUCUGGCAGCCUAGCUUGAGUUCUUGAUCGAUUGUGAAUGUGGCCCUGUAGGUUUCGGCCUGGAUAAUUAGGUGGAGUUGUAGCGGGCUUCUACCGGUCUUCUGAUCUUCUCUAAUAGCAAGAUCGAUCCAGAAAUGUUGGAGCACUUGAGCUUGAGUUGCGAGAGAUGUUGGAGAGCUUUCUAGAAAAUAAAGACGCUGGAGGUUAGGAAUGGGAGAAAUGCAGGAAAAAAUGCGAAGUUCUGCACUGCCAUACAACCCCUAAUUUUGUGCUCCUGGUGCAAGAUGGUGGUCCGAUGAUCGCCUGACCAGUACUGAUUGAAUACUAUGGUUAGCAAUAACCAACUGUUGUAGCCUGAUUAGCACAUUUAAUCCGAUUAUAACCUAUUCAGUGACAA